RNAcentral lists this ribosomal RNA (402 nucleotides) under Verrucomicrobiota bacterium. Its description in RNAcentral is "Verrucomicrobia bacterium partial 16S ribosomal RNA". It matches the Rfam family "Bacterial small subunit ribosomal RNA", at positions 355 to 776 of the family's 1533-position model. The record is from RNAcentral. Lineage: Bacteria; Pseudomonadati; Verrucomicrobiota.
UGGGGAAUUUUGCACAAUGGGGGAAACCCUGAUGCAGCGACGCCGCGUGAUUUAGAAGGCCUUCGGGUUGUAAAAAUCUUUUUUAUGGGAUGAAAAUGACAGUACCAUAAGAAUAAGGUCCGGCUAAAUACGUGCCAGCAGCCGCGGUAAUACGUAUGGACCGAGCGUUGUCCGGAAUCAUUGGGCGUAAAGGGUACGUAGGCGGCAAUGCAAGUCAGAUGUAAAAGGCAAAGGCUCAACCUUUGUAAGCAUCUGAAACUGUAUAGCUUGAGAAGUGUAGAGGCAAGUGGAAUUUUUAGUGUAGCGGUGAAAUGCGUAGAUAUUAAAAAGAAUACCGGUGGCGAAGGCGACUUGCUGGGCACAAUCUGACGCUGAGGAACGAAAGCGUGGGGAGCAAACAGG